CAUACCUCCAUUACGAAAUCAUUGAAAAAGCAGUUGGCUCAUAAUUUUGGGCCUACCAUGUCGUCAAUUCUGAAUUUGCAUCAGUGCAAUCUGGUUACGUGAUCAUUCUGUUCUAGUGACAGUUAGGUUCGCGUCAAAAUUAGCGAAACAGGAGUCCAAACCGGCCACAAGAUUGUUGAUUCCCGGAACCUAAUCACUGAUCACUCCAGCAAUGUAGAACUGAUCCUCUCAUCGUCUUCAAUCUCUGUCUGGACCAGGAAUAGCAAAAUUAGAAGUUUAUUAUGACUCUGUUUUGCUCCAGUUCGCUCGCAGAUUGAUCACCAUUGUCGCUACUUUGCUAAAUUCCAAUUUCGUUACCACAAAGCUCAUCGCUGGAUAGAAGGAAGUUUGCUUCUGUUUGUUCACGACGUAGUAGAAGACAGCACAUUCGGUGACGUGAACUGAAAUGAUGACUCCGUUCAAAUCCGCUGAGAAAGGGAUUGAUUACCAGAUCCGUUUUCAACACAAGUGGUCUGCUCUUUCACUUUCUGAACUCUGCUUCUGGUCCUCUUUUGAUUCCGCAACCUUAUUCUCAUACCAAAUUGCUGAAGUGGGAAAUUUGGAAUGAAUUCCAUUAUCCAUGCAAAUGAGGACAUUUGGCUCAAGCUACUUGAGGAAAGGUGUUGCACAUCAUUAACAUAUCUUUCAAAUACACAAUUAAUGUACUUGGAAUUGGAUCAUAAUUGAAGUUGUUAAUCUUGAAAAGAGACAUGGAUCCCUAUGACAGGGUGGCACUUUCCAUGGAGAUAAGCAAAUGGAGGGAGCUCAAAAAUGUUAAAUCCUCAUUGAUUGGCUUGGAAGAUGUGAAGGGAUGAUUUUUUGCUGUGACUAUCAUUUGUGGUGUUUAGUAUGCUUCCCGUGUCAUAUAAUGUGAUCAUUUAUUUCAGGAAUUCGUGGCUUUCUUUUCUAGCCUUGGUAAUUUCUUCCUAUAAAAUUAAGAAGUUAAACACAUCCCAUCUCCAAGAAGAGGGAGAGAAGUUACUACUUAAUCGUCCUCUAUUGGACCUUUCACGGCAGCCUUGCAACUUAGCUAAUGAGGGCUCAUUUUUCAUUACUGAUACAUAUGGCUCAUGCUGAGUGCUAAAAGGCUUGAAACAGUGAUCCUGAUCAACAUUUAGAUUGCCUGCUUCCCAAAGCAUAGAUUUGACCAAGCUAAGGGGCAACAUGCUAUUAAGUAGACCUACAAGGACAACUAAAGGGCAAUGUUCCCGGCCAGAGACUGACAUCUCCCACUAGUAAGUUAGAAAACUAUUUCUUAGUUUUAAUUGUCUUUUUGGUUGUUGUACUAGCAUUAUAAGUCCACAUAAUGGAAACCUUUAACCAUUUAUUAUUAAGCACAAAAUUUUUCACUUAAUUUAAUAUUGAUGUUGCCUUCACGCAUGGUUACUCAUCCAAUUGAUUCAACGCAGCCGAAAGGAAAAGUUUGAUGAGUCAUUUUUUUGUCCUCACUGUUGCCUAAAAUAUAUGUAAAUUAUGUGUACAUAUAACUCUAAAUUUUGUGCAUGAUAAAAAAAGUAAUCUCACUUUUCUUCAAGGAAGUUUCUGUUAUUUGCAGUUCAAAGAAACUUUAGUAGGCACACCCCUCAAUGGAGGGGUCAGAAAAUCUGAAACUCACUAAUGUUGGCCUGCCUGAAGCCACACACUGCUUCUUUUUGACUUCUCGGUUUCUUGCAACUUUAAGGAGCUUUGGUAGGCCUAGGCUGCCUUCCCAAAAUGCUGCAAUCGUGCUCCAUGUGAUUCUGGUACACUUGUGGCUUCCCCUUUAUUUAAUAUUAAAUUAACCUGUUGGUGCUUUAUCUGCUAGAAAAGAAAAAGAAAUUUUGACUAACUAAUUUAGUUUCAGUGAUCAUUUUGUUGCACCUAUUCUUAAUAAUAUGCUGAAAACUUUUCCUUGGAUCA
Non-coding RNA from Carica papaya (papaya), 1938 nucleotides. Lineage: Eukaryota; Viridiplantae; Streptophyta; Magnoliopsida; Brassicales; Caricaceae. The record is from RefSeq and is a predicted model, not a curated record.